UGUAAGCGUAUACCAAAGUUGUUGCAGUUAAAACGCUCGUAGUCGGAAUUUGGCAGUUCCGGAUGUGUGCACGUCGUGUGCGCACUUCGCGGGGAUUGCUUUUGUGGUCUUGCGUAGGAUGAGGCACUUUUAUUAGUGAACGUCCUCACGCAACCACUUUUUACUGUGAGAAAAUCAGAGUGCUCAAAGCAGGCAUUUGCCGUGAAUGUAUUAGCAUGGAAUAAUAGAAUAGAACUUGGUUCUAUUUUGUUGGUUUGUUGGGACUGAGUAAUGAUUAAGAGGGACAGUUGGGGGCAUUUGUAUUUCGGUGCUAGAGGUGAAAUUCUUAGAUUACCGAAAGACAAACUGCUGCGAAAGCGUCUGCCAAGGAUGUUUUCAUUGA
This 382-nucleotide ribosomal RNA is filed under the name uncultured eukaryote. Its description in RNAcentral is "partial 18S ribosomal RNA". It matches the Rfam family "Eukaryotic small subunit ribosomal RNA", at positions 592 to 976 of the family's 1831-position model. The record is from RNAcentral.